CAGGCAUGCAGUCGAACGCGAAAGUUCCUUCGGGAAUUAGUAGCGUGGCGAAAGGGGCAGUAAGGCAUAAGUAACUCUACCCUUCGGACCGGGAUAUACGGUGGAAACGCCGGGCAAUACUGGACGUCGUUUCUGGAUGGCAUCAUCCGGCUUCGAAAUGGUCAGCCGCCGAGGGAGGGGCUUAUGUGCUACCAGCUUGUUGGUGAGGUAACGGCUCACCAAGGCUACGACGGCUAGGGGGUGUGAGAGCACGAUCCCCGCCACUGGGACUGAGAACUGCCCAGACUCCUACGGGAGGCUGCAGUCGAGAAUCUUCGGCAAUGGGGGCAACCCUGACCGAGCGACGCCGCGUGGUGGAUGAAGGCCUUCGGGUUGUAAACACCUGUUGGGGGGGAACACGUUUUGAGUGAACCCCUGAGGAAGCACGGGCUAAGUUCGUGCCAGCAGCCGCGGUAAGACGAACCGUGCAAACGUUACUCGGAAUCACUGGGCUUAAAGCGCGCGUAGGCGGCGGCGUAAGUCAGAGGUGAAAUCCCAUCGGCUCAACCGUGGAAUUGCCUCUGAUACUGCGUUGCUUGAGGGGGAACGGGGCAUCCGGAACUUCCGGUGGAGCGGUGAAAUGUGUUGAUAUCGGAAGGAACGCCGGUGGCGAAAGCGGGAUGCUGGGUCUCUUUCUGACGCUGAGUGCGAAAGCUAGGGUAGCGAACGGGAUUAGAUACCCCGGUAGUCCUAGCCGUAAACGAUGAGCACUUGGUAGAAAUCGCUCCGAUGGCGACUUCUGCCGAAGCGAAAGUGUUAAGUGCUCCGGCCUGGGGAGUAUGGUCGCAAGGCUGAAACUCAAAGGAAUUAGACGGGGGGCUCACACCAGCGGGUGGAGCAUGUGGCUUUAUUUCGAAGGCUACCGCAAGAACCUUAUCCUAGACCUGGACUGC
This 932-nucleotide ribosomal RNA is filed under the name uncultured Planctomycetota bacterium. RNAcentral's name for it is "bacterial SSU rRNA". It matches the Rfam family "Bacterial small subunit ribosomal RNA", at positions 50 to 989 of the family's 1533-position model. Lineage: Bacteria; Pseudomonadati; Planctomycetota. The record is from RNAcentral.